GUACUGCUGACGAGUCAAAUACUAGGACGAAACGGCCGUCCAGUGC
This 46-nucleotide non-coding RNA is filed under the name Schistosoma margrebowiei. The record is from RNAcentral. Lineage: Eukaryota; Metazoa; Platyhelminthes; Trematoda; Strigeidida; Schistosomatidae.